Molecule: ribosomal RNA, 329 nt
Filed under: Hippodamia undecimnotata
Lineage: Eukaryota; Metazoa; Arthropoda; Insecta; Coleoptera; Coccinellidae
Description: partial 16S ribosomal RNA
Source: RNAcentral
UAUAAUUUAAAGUAGGGCCUGCCCACUGAUAUUUGUUGAAGGGCCGCAGUAUUUUGACUGUGCAAAGGUAGCAUAAUCAUUAGUUUUUUAAUUGAAAGCUUGUAUGAAUGGUUUGAUGAAAAAAUAACUUUCUUUAUUUUAAUUUUAAAAAAUUUUAUUUUUAAGUUAAAAAGCUUAAAUAAUUGUAAUAGACGAGAAGACCCUAUAGAGUUUAAUUUUUAUUGAUUAAUAAUUUUUUAGUAUUUAAAAAUUUAUUUUUCAUAUGAAAUUUGAUUGGGGUGAUUAUAAAAUUUAAUUAACUUUUAUUAUUUAUAAAACAUAAAUUUAUG